AACGAACGCUGGCGGCAUGCCUAACACAUGCAAGUCGAACGAGACCUUCGGGUCUAGUGGCGCACGGGUGCGUAACGCGUGGGAACCUGCCCUUAGGUUCGGAAUAACUCCCCGAAAGGGGUGCUAAUACCGGAUAAUGUCUUCGGACCAAAGAUUUAUCGCCUUUGGAUGGGCCCGCGUUGGAUUAGCUAGUUGGUAGGGUAAAAGCCUACCAAGGCGACGAUCCAUAGCUGGUCUGAGAGGAUGAUCAGCCACACUGGGCUGAGACACGGCCCAGACUCCUACGGGAGGCAGCAGUGGGGAAUAUUGGACAAUGGGCGCAAGCCUGAUCCAGCAAUGCCGCGUGAGUGAUGAAGGCCUUAGGGUUGUAAAGCUCUUUUACCCGGGAUGAUAAUGACAGUACCGGGAGAAUAAGCUCCGGCUAACUCCGUG
Molecule: ribosomal RNA, 432 nt
Filed under: uncultured bacterium
Lineage: Bacteria
Description: partial 16S ribosomal RNA
Rfam family: Bacterial small subunit ribosomal RNA
Source: RNAcentral